AUUUCACUCAAUUGCUUGAUACCUCUUGUUCCCUUCACCCAUUAGAUUUUAGACAACCUUUACAUCCAUUACAUACACCAAUUGAUGCUCCAUCAUUCACAUUUGGAAUCCAAGGGCAUUUGUCACACAUGUUGUUGCACAUUUGACCCAUUUGUUGACACAUUUCACCUCCCUUUCCAUCUCUAUGCAAUGUACACAAUCAUUCAUGCUCCCUAGCUGCAACACCACUCCAUUUUACCCUUCACACUUUGCAUCAUCGCUUCAUUUUCACCCUUGGACCAUUGCACACCACACACACCAACUUGCCAUGCAUUUCAUCCCUAGCCUAACCUGAUUUUCUAAGGUUUUUGGGGCCUAUAAAUACAUGUUUACACCCCUUGGCCAAAAAACAAUCCCCCAUAUUCAUCAUUUUAUCACAGAAAUUCGUCCAUACACACCCUAGGAAGCAAAACACCCCAAAAACACCAUUCUAGUGCCUAGAAAACAUAACAGCCACUUCACCUUCUUCCACCCUCUUUGCCUAGUUCUCCACCACCUUCCAACCAUCAAACACUCUUUCACACUCACCCUAAACCCCUCCAUAUCAUUCCCCAUCCAUUCUACACCAUAAAUCCACCCA
This 619-nucleotide long non-coding RNA is filed under the name Malus domestica (apple). RNAcentral's name for it is "long non-coding RNA (MDOM_LNC004540)". Lineage: Eukaryota; Viridiplantae; Streptophyta; Magnoliopsida; Rosales; Rosaceae. The record is from RNAcentral.